Long non-coding RNA from Arabidopsis lyrata subsp. lyrata, 624 nucleotides. RefSeq lists it as uncharacterized. The record is from RefSeq and is a predicted model, not a curated record. Lineage: Eukaryota; Viridiplantae; Streptophyta; Magnoliopsida; Brassicales; Brassicaceae. The transcript is spliced from 2 exons.
CUCGAGCCUCUCUCUCUCACACCUUGUUAUCUCCGACGGCGAUUUUGGGAGAGAUCGGUCUGAAAAAGAGUUUCUCUUGUCAGAAGCUGAAGAAUCAAAAGCCUCUUAGAAAUGAAUUCCAUGGAAAACAGAUCAUUUUCGGUGAUGCUCAAGACGAGAGCUUCAGAAGGAGCUUCCGAUCGUCAUCCAUCACAGCUCAGAUCAAGAAAUUCAGAGAUGCAUUGGCAAAGCAUGGUCCAGAUAGGUGCAGCCUUGGACGGACUAAAGGCCUUGAAGAGAAAGAGCUUGUGGCACUUGCAGCCAACAAAGAUCUCAACUUUACUUACAGACCAAAGCAUGUACCAGUUGAGAAAGAAGCAGCCACUCCUAAUUUAAACCCAAGCCUCCCUAGCUUUCGACUCAUUCUUAGCAAAGCAUUUCGAAGAGAGUGUACUGCUUAAGUUGCCAGAGAAUUAGCAGUCUGUCCUCAAGCAAUCCCUUAUAAGUGAAGUGGAUGAUAUGCCUACCUAAACCUAACUCACAUUGAUUCAUAAUCUGAGUUUUUGUUUUAAGAAACCUACUUAAGGACUCACCAUUGGACAAAUAAAUUUGUAAGGAUUCAUCAAAAACUCUUAACUUUAAAAA